Lonchura striata (white-rumped munia) is the source of this 1771-nucleotide long non-coding RNA. The record is from Ensembl. NCBI's taxonomy places the organism in Eukaryota, Metazoa, Chordata, Aves, Passeriformes, Estrildidae.
UAGUUUUGGAAAGAUCUAUUGGUUAGGUGAGAACUUCUUCCAGUUGCUGGCUUGUCCUCCUCCUCCUCCUUACACAUCCCCUAGAACCUAUGAGGCAUCUGGAGGUGGUGCUCUAUGCUGUGUCUAUGCUCGCUGUUACAUUAAUUUAAAUAAAUUGUGCAAAUAAAAAAAAAAUAGAAAAAGAAAAAAAACAAACCCCUAAACCCUUCAUUCUGUGCAAAAAUAAAUCAAAAGAUUGGAGUUUCCAAUCCAGUUUUUUGUCCAAUGAGGUAAAAGCUGUUGUGUAAUGGCCUGUCCCUUUCUUCUCUCUGAAGGUCCCAACCCCAUGUGUCCCACUUGUCUGGAUUAAAAUUUGAAGUCUGGCAGUCUGGUUCUUUUCAUAGCUCCAGAGGAUUUUUGGGAGCAUGGGAUGCAUGGACCUGUUGACCCACAAAACUCUGGAGAAUGUUGGCUGUGGAUAAAAACAUCUGGAAGUUUCUACCAUCUUUUUACCCUGUUUUUCCUGGAUCAACCUGUGUCGUUUGUGGUCUUGCCCUGAGGAUUAUAGCAUACAGUCACUUACUGGAAUACCUUUCCAUGCAUCUUCUUGAAAUGGAGCCACUGCUUUACCCAGCUGGAAGAUAUUUUCUCUUCUCCCAGAGCUUUUCCAGUGCAGCAACACUCCUGUCCAUCAGGUCUCAGUUGACUGCAAAAAGGAGAAGAGUGUGUCAAAGGGAGGUCAGAUCCUGCCAGGGUUUCCUGGGAAAUGAGGUGUAUUCACUGUUUGGAUGAUGAAGCUUGAUGAGCUGCAAUUCAGCUUGGAUUACAGUAUUUCAGGAGACUUUCUGAACUUGCCAGGCAACCCUCCCCCUCGACUUUGGGGACAGAGGAACUUAAAUUUAUAUUUUCAGUGUCACACAAGGAGAUAGUAUGGAGCUGGCUGCUUUACACAAGUAAUGAAAAUCGAUGCUGUGUUGCUCUUGGAAGGAGUGCUCAAAAGGAGAAAAGCCUGGCAUAUACAUCUUGGUUUAGAGACAGAUUUUACCUGGGAAGAAUGUGUCCAGGAGAAGGAGAAGAGGUGAUGCUAAAAGCCAGCUUCCUGACCUCCAGACUGGAACUGAAGCUCUGUAACAAGGUAAAAAAAACCAAACACAAAACUUUUUCUUUCCUUUCUACCUCAUUGAAAUAUCCAUCAGACAAGAAGUGAGAUGAGUAAUGAGUCCAUGCAUUGAGUAGUUUCUCCUACUGUCCCCAGUCUCUGUCCUGUUCCCUGGCCACUUCCCGUGUCCUGCAUCACCCAUGCCUUGAGCAGGCUUAAUGUAAAAAUCAUCAGCAAAUCUCAACUGCCUUUAGUUGUCCACAUAUCUAAGACUUAAUUUUUCAAGCAUCUGUGCUCGCACACACACACAUUAAAUGUGUUGUUUCUGGAGGACACUUCCGCCUUUAUGCCUGAAGAACUUGCUGCUCUGUUGUUGGCAGUGAGGAUGAGGAGUCCCUCACUGUUUGCACUGCACUCUUUGCAGCUCCAGAGGAGGACAGUGAUUCUACAUUUUCCAAACUGAUGACAUACAGAGAGAGCUGAAAUGUAUGGGUUUUCGCAUUGCUUUUGUGCAAAGACACAAGAGGAGAAAGGCAGAAAAUAGAGCAAAAUUACCUGUUUCCAAUUUACUACUUUCAGAUAACUGAAAAACAUUGAUUGUGAAAAAGAAAGUUGAAGCUUGAUUUAGUUUUUAGCUUCUUUCCUGCUGCAAAUGGUUUUCCUUAUAAACGUGCAUGGGUCCUCCCAUGUUGG